This 8099-nucleotide long non-coding RNA is filed under the name Triticum aestivum (bread wheat). RNAcentral describes it as "long non-coding RNA (TAES_LNC004204)". Lineage: Eukaryota; Viridiplantae; Streptophyta; Magnoliopsida; Poales; Poaceae. The record is from RNAcentral.
CCACAUUCAUCCCCAUGUACACUCCGACUACUCCCCAAACCCCAAGAGGACAUAUGACGAGGCCUCGAAGAUACACCAUUGGACACACGGUGAACUCGCUCCUCUCCGAACCUUCACUUUCCACAUGUGAGACAUGGUUACUACCUCAAAUAUGUGUGCUAUGCAUGACCAGGAACAAGGAGGAAGACCAUGGACGAGCUAGCGAGGACGCCAAGUACAAGGACCAAGAGAAGGAGCUGCCGAAGAAGCUCCAGCGAGCGGACGUCCGGACGACACCGGACGACCGGCCUCUCACAGCAAGCGGACGACCGGCGCCUGAAGACCCAGCCAACGCAGGCCCCAGCGAGCGGACGUCCGGCCCGCACCGGACGACCAGCCCCACUCUCCAGCGAGCGGAUGACCGAAGACACCGGACGUCCGGCACCUGUCAACAGAGCGAAUAUUAACAGAAGUAUGAAACUUCCGGACGUCCGGUGCCCCAUUCCAGAGAGCUUCUAGCGGACGUCCGGCGACACCGAACGACCGGUCCCUCAUGAGCCACCGGACGACCGGCCCCCAGCGGACGUCCGGUACCUUUCUGCGCACAGUUUCGGGCCGAAGCCCAUGUACCCCUUCACUUCGCCCUCUUUUGCACUAAGACUAUAAAUAGGACACCCCCUCCUCCUAGUUAGGGUUAGCAUUGGAUUAGCUCAUAUUUGUGUGAGAGCCUUUGCUCAUCCACUUGGAUACUUCUCCUCGGAGAUCACAACCUCUUCGGAGAAGAUCCCCCAAGCGGAUUCAAGACCCCUUCUAGGGAAGAACAUCAAGGCCUCCUCUCGGAGAAGAAUGGUUCCUUUGUAUCCUUACCUUUGUUGACUUUGGAUCUCGUGAAUCUCUUAUGUGUGUGGUGAUCUAGCACUUGUGUGAUUGAUUCCUUGUCGGUUGAGUGAUUCUCUCUCGUUUUCCCCGUGUUUUCCCUUUGUGCUUCCGCGUGUUCUUCGUGAUUCCCCGUAGGAUCCACUCCAAACGUGAAAGAUCGACGCUAUAGGGUUCCACCCUACAUCAUCUUGGUAUCAUGAGCCAGGUUGAUCACGUUUUUGGAGCCCCUACCCCUCUUUUUCUAGCUUGAUUUUGUUGUGUUCUUCCCCAAAAUUCGAAAAUCCCCACCAAAAAUAGCCCCAAAUUUUUUUGUGAUUUGUUGGUUUGAUGAUGUUUUGUUGAUUUUGAUCCAUGGAUUUGCUUGGUUUCAAGUGGAUCUAGCAUUUCCCCAAGUUUCCCCAUCUUCCAUCCACGAAAUCUCAUCAAUUUACGGAUUUCCGACGCCCCGGACAUCCGUCCAUUUACGGACGUCCGUAACCUGUAGAUUCCCACUUCGGCUGAUUCUUGUUUCGGCCAUAACUAAUUCAUUCGAACUCCGAUUUUGACGUCCUUUAGCUCGUUUUGAAGCUCUUAACAUCCCCCAUCCCACAAAAAUACCAUCAACAUCAAUUGACUCCAUCAAAGUUUUGGAACUUUGGCAUCUUUGCCUUGGGCUUUCACCACAUCAUCCGCUACACCACCACCGACUUUCGCAACCUAACCCAUUUUGUUCCAUAUAGCAUUAGUGGUUGCUUGAGUAGUGAUUUGAGUCUCCUAAGGUGUUUCGGCUACUUAGGGACAAUUGCUUAUUCAUCAACCACCACCACCAUUUCCGCAUACGCUUGACCACCAUACACUUCCAACAACACAACUUAACCCAAUUGUUGUUUGAGCUUUUUCGAGUUGUGGCUUGUGUCUCCUAAGGUGUUUCGGCUACUUAGGGACCGUGUGCUUCCAACUCUUACACCGUGUAUAGCCCAUCAUCCCACUUCCGCAUUGCCAAGUGCAAACCACCACCGCUUUCCGCUACCACCAUUUUGUCAUUUGAGAUUUUGAGUUCGCGGUUUUUCCGUUUCCUAAGGUGUUUCGGCUACUUAGGGACGAGUCUCCAUCAUCUUGGUAUCUACAUCAAGAACGCCGCUACUCAUCAUCGCCGGACGGUAACCUCCAUAUCAUCUUGGUAUCGUGGUAUCCCUCCAUUGUAUAUUCCCCUUGCCAUUGCAUUGUUAACCCCUAGCCCAUUUUGCGUUACUUGCCUAUCGAGACUAGCCAUUUGAGUAUUGCCGGCAACGUGACUUGUGCACAUUAGUGAUCAUACUUCCCAUUGCAUACAUACCAUAUCAUAUCUUGGUAUCAUAUCUUGUGUCACAAGUUUGUUCCCGCAUAUACACAAUUGCUAUCUUGGUUUGUGCAUUGUGCAAAAGUGGCCAUAGAAAAAAAAGAGAAUAAAGCUUUUAAGCAAAAGGAAAAGAGAGAGCAAAGAAGCUUGUAAGCAAGUGCCAUAGCAUCAUACCACAUUGCAUAUAAGAUUGUCAUAUCCGAUCAUCUUGGAUCAUCUUGAGAGAAACACCGGGAACCAUACAUACAUAGCAUACUUGGGAUAGAAAGUUUAUCCAUUUUGCAUCUUAUAGGUUGUGCACAAGUGUCGUAUCCGCCUAUUGAGCAAUCGUGCUAGCGUCUAUCUUGAGUUGUGCAACACGAGCGUUUUCCGUGGAUUCCACAUUUUGUGCUCAUUCCUUGGUUGCACGACCCCAUUUAUCUAUCCGUGUGUGUGUUUCCGUGUACCAUUCUUUGCUAUUGGUCCAUUUGUUUCACUUGCGAAUUUGUGAAUCUCUUUCAACAUUAUUGACUCUUGCUAACAUUUUGCAUUAAAUUUUUGUGCCACUAUCCUCACCGAGCUCCACUAUAAGCUUUACUUGUGUAGGUGUGAGAACCGACAAGGAUUGGUACCAAUAGUGCUAUUUCAUUGUCCGCAUUUGAGUGAACUUGAUUCAUUGUCAACAUCGGUCAAGGUACAUUGGUAUAAGUUCUUCUCUUUCUCCACUCAUAUUUGCUCGAGUCUUGUGAUGGAUAGGCAAGGCAUUUCCUCUCCGGUCUACGACAACAACGACGGCGUGAACAACUACAUCUCCAAAGCGUCUAUCUUCGAUCUACAGCGACAAAUGAAAGGCGCACAAUCAAGAUUGCAAGAGCGCAUCGAGAACAUCUCCAUCGACAUUUUCCACUCCGAAGCAAGGAAAAGGGACUACAUCGACAAGAAGCUUUCCGCACAUAAAGAGGAGCAAGAUGCACGGAUGGAGGAGAUUAGAGCCUUGAUCAAGUCUUCUUCCCCUUCGUCAUCUUCAAGGCGGCGACAUUCAAGACACAAGUCUUCGGAGCGCGAAAAAGAUGCAAGUGCAAAUCGUCCUCGUCCACAUCUACAUGGCGACCACCAUCACAUUCGUGAUCAACAUCGUCAUGAAGGGCAAGUCACCUCCAAGCAUCAUGUGCACGACGACGACGAACGACAUCUACUACGAGCUCAAGCACGACAACGACAUCAUCAUCAUGAAGAUGCUCCACAAGCGCAAAUGCACAAGUCCCAACACGCCAAGUCCAAGCUUCAAGAGCACAAAAGAAGACCGCGAGACGACCACCACCAAGACGAUGCUACGGCUACACCAACCACUUUGGCAUCUUCGCCAAGUGCUAUCAAGGCAUCUUCGCCUUUGAACGUACGUCAUCUUCGCCUACUUCCCACGAGUGCACCUACAACGACUUCCUCAAGUCCAAGGCGACGACCUACGAGCGAGGGUGACACUUCCAUCUUUGGAAGCCCCUCAAGGAAGAUGGCCAAGCAUGGGAGACUCCCUUCGGUCAUGGAGACGAGCUACGAGGUGCCACAUCAUAUGGGCCUCCAACAACAAGAUGGCGACAAGAAGGUCGAGCAAGGGCCAUCCCCUCCGACCACGGCGAUAGGAGUUGAGCAUGGAGACAUUUGCACCUACAUCUCUCCGACACCCACAUAUGUCGAGAUGCCCCAAGUGCCAUGUGAGGAGAGCCACCACCACAUGAGUGACAUGAGUGACUCCACCAUACGUGACAUUGAGAGCAUUUCCUAUGAGAGGAUGAGUGUGACCACCACUAGCCCCACACAUGAGAUCAUGCCACACAUCCUAUGUGAGGUUGAGCGCCAUUUGAUUGACUCCACCAACCAUAUGAGUGAGUGCAUCCUUGAGUGAGUGAGUGAGCCACAACACUUAGAGAGUGAGGUAGUUGAGACGGCAUGUGAGGCCACUAUGAUUUCUAACGACUUAACCUCUACUCCUAGUGUGUUUUCUUCUUUGGUGCUAGGUGUCCUACAUGACGACACGCCUAUCCUUGACGAGUCCAUCCCUCCAAUGUACAAUAUGAUGGCCAUGGUGGACGAUGAUGCACCCCCCACAUGGUUCCAUCAACAUGAAGAUGACAACGAGACGAUCUUCAACACCUCACCUACAACACAUGAGCAACAAUCCAACGGUAACAUAGGUGAUGGUAGUUCUCUUGUCCCACUAGUGGACUAUCUUGACAUCGAUUGCUCCCAUGAUGUUGACCCACCUAUUACCAUGCUUCACACUAGUGAGACUUCUUCAUGCCUUGACUUACCUAUUUAUGAUGAAUAUGAUGAUGAGCAUGUUGAGUUGCCUAGUUGUGAUGCUAUGCUCCAUAGGAUAUCAUGUGAAAAUUCUAUUGGUCACUUCAUGUUUGACAAUCCAUUGAACUUGUCAUAUGCUAUGAGUGAGAUCUCCCAUAUUGCAUCAUUACAAUCUCAACAUAGUAACUAUGCAUGCCCCAUUAAAAUAAAUCCCAUUUGCACUUAUGGCAUAGAUGACGAGAUGAUGGUCAUUGGCUUUUGCUUCUCUUGUGAUGAUAUUGCCAUGCUUCCUUUACAUGAUUUACGCAAUUCAUCUAAUAUGUCAUGCCAUGAUCACAUUGUUCCAAAUAUGCAUUGUUUUGGAUGUUGUCAAUGUUCUCCACGUGAUGUUUCUACUCUUGCUCAUGAGGAGACCCCCAUAGUUUCCUCAUACAUAUUAGGAGAUCUUGAUGCAUUUCAUACUUUGCAUGAUUCCCAUGAUAGUGUACACCAUAUGCACCCCAUGAAUAACAAUGCUCUAGAUAUUGCUCGUGAUGAAUUACACAAUUUGAGUCUCCAUUAUGCUAUACAUAAUAACAAACCUAUCAUGAUGGAUGACAUGUUUCUAUAUCACGCAUCUCAUUUAUUUGAGCAUUGGCUAUUUUGUGCUAACCGACACAUACAUGUGCGCAUCAUGAUGGAUGAUGUGUACAUCUACCACGCACACACAAUUUUCCCUUUGUCUUUGUUUUGUGUAGGUACUCAUGUAUACUCGUCAACCUCUCAAUCCCAAGAGUUGACGAAAUGAGCUCUUGAGAGCAACGAUGCUUUGGGAUCCCGUGGACUAUCCUUACCACCGUUCCCUUCGCGCAAGGACUACGCACAUCUCUUUUACUUGGCUCUCACAUGGCUAUGGGCUAUUUACAACUUGUCACCUUAUGCCCAUACUAUCGUGUUCACUUUGCAUGUUAUUUUUGCUCCUAUGCCUUUGCCAUGCAAUUGUGACCCUUGCUUGCAUCUACCCAUGAUUCACCAUUAUGAUACUCCUAUGUGUAUUUGCAUGCUUGGUGGAGAUCUUUAUUACUUUUGCCAUGUUUAUCAUGUGCCUCAUGCUAUUGUUGAUCCUUGUGUUGGGAGAGUCAUGAUGUUACAUUGCUACUUACAUAGGACUUCUUGCCAACACCAUGAACCUACUUUCCUCAUAUCUUGCUUUCAUGCUUGUGCUAUGUCAUGUGAAUUAUUCAUGCCCACUAUUUGCACCAAUGACAUGCUUGCCAUGAUUCCUCCUAGUAUGUUGCAUCUUCGCACUACUACCUUGCUUGACUUGAUUGCUAGAAUUACUUGCUCCACUCUUACUCGCUUUCUUGGGUUGAUGACAUAUAUGCUCAUGCCUCUCACAUGAUAUAUCUUGAUCAUUGUCUCUUGUGUCCAUUAGUUGCCUCUUUCAUAUCCACUUGUAUUGAGUGCAACCAUACUAUGCUUAUUGAUCUUGGAGACUUUGACACCUUACUUGUGAUGCAUGCUUGUUUGAUUGAGCCUAUUGCAUUUGGUUGUUCUCGCAUCAUAUGCCUCCAUACUAUGCAAUACUCCCUUUUCCUUUCUUAUGAUGAGCAUGAUACAUACACUUGUUGGGUAUCUUACCACACGAAUGAUAGGUGCUGCAUUUGCACUAACCUUAUUUGUUUUUCCGAGUGUUUGCCAUGUUCUUUCGUUUUGAAGGAUUCACAAGGCGGUACCAUCAUGAGACAUAUUGGCUAUGUGAAGGCAUACACGAUGUGCGACACCUACAUUUUCGACAUCCUCAUAAAGGUGAACCCCUUCUCUUUGAGCCAUCCUCAAAUAUGCGUAUUGGAUGGGUCAUUCUUUCAUUGUUGUUUCCUUCUUGUUGUCUACAUGAUACAUCUCGUGAACGGAGGAGCGACAUUGGAGAUUGACUACAUGGACCUUCACAUUGAGGAACACUCGCACUUAUUGGAUGCACCUUCGAAACUCCACUCAUGCCUCGACAUUGAGCUUUGGUACACCAACACCUCCAUAUUUGUUGAUUGUGCUCAUACAUGUCAUGCUCGAUGGACUUAUCAUACUCACCACAAGUUUGCACCCCAUGCAUGGAUUGACUCACAUUAUGAUUGCCUUGUUGCAUCUUGUAUUCUCAUGUCAUCCAUGAUAUAUGAGCUUGUGCACUUCCUUAGCAAAUUUGUUGUGAUCUACCUUGAUGGCAUAUUCAUACAUCAUGAUCAUUUUGACCACCAUCAAUUGCAUGAUAACAUACACAUGUUGAGCAUCCAUUGCCAUAUUCAUGCUAUUGAUAAACCGUCUCACUAUGACAUCAUUUUGCACCGUGGUUGCAUUAAUCAUAUUUACAACACAUUUGUGUGCACAAUGAUUGCAAUUCCUCCCAUGAAUGCUUUGCAUCUCAUUCUAGAUCAUCUUGAUAAGCUUCAUGCGCUUUGUCACGACCAAUCUUACCGCACGGACUCAUUCUUACAUGAUGGACACUUUGUGCGCACUAACCAUUGUAUUUCCGAGUGUUGCUUGUGUUUGCUCUUUUUGCAUGUCUAUCACUCCGGCGACACCUUGGACUACUUGGAUUGCGCCAUGUCUUCAACUUCGUCCAACUACAAGUCCGUCUACGACAACUAUUUCCAUGGUGAUGAGGAUCACGAUCCGAGGUCGGAUCUUUCCCAAGGGGGGGGAGAUGAUGCGGAGCAUCCCACGUUCAUCCCCAUGUACACUCCGACUACUCCCCAAACCCCAAGAGGACAUAUGACGAGGCCUCGAAGAUACACCAUUGGACACAAGGUGAACUCGCUCCUCUCUGAACCUUUACUUUCCACAUGUGAGACAUGGUUACUACCUCAAAUAUGUGUGCUAUGCAUGACCAGGAACAAGGAGGAAGACCAUGGACGAGCUAGCGAGGACGCCAAGUACAAGGACCAAGAGAAGGAGCUGCCGAAGAAGCUCCAGCGAGCGGACGUCCGGACGACACCGGGCGACCGGCCUCUCACAGCAAGCGGACAUCCGGUCCUUGGCGGAUGACCGGCGCCUGAAGACCCAGCCAACGCGGGCCCCAGCGAGCGGAUGUCCGGCCCGCACCGGACGACCGACCCCACUCUCCAGCGAGCGGACGACCGAAGACACCGGACGUCCGGCACCUGUCAACAGAGCGAAUAUUAACGGAAGUAUGAAACUUCCGGACGUCCGGCGCCCCAUUCCAGAGAGCUUCCAGCGGACGUCCGGCGACACCGGACGACCGGUCCCUCAUGAGCCACCGGACGACCGGCCCCCAGCGGACAUCCGGUACCUGUCUGCGCACAGUUUAGGGCCGAAGCCCAUGUACCCCUUCACUUCGCCCUCUUUUGCACUAAGACUAUAAAUAGGACACCCCCUCCUCCUAGUUAGGGUUAGCAUUGGAUUAGCUCAUAUUUGUGUGAGAGCCUUUGCUCAUCCACUUGGAUACUUCUCCUCGGAGAUCACGACCUCUUCGGAGAAGAUCCCCCAAGCGGAUUCAAGACCCCUUAUAGGGAAGAACAUCAAGGCCUCCUCUCGGAGAAGAAUGGUUCCUUUGUAUCCUUACCUUUGUUGACUUUGGAUCUCGUGAAUCUCUUAUGUGUGUGGUGAUCUAGCACUUGUGUGAUUGAUUCCUUGUCGGUUGAGUGAUUCUCUC